GGUUCGGGUUGUCAUGCCAAUGGCACUGCCCGGUAGCUAAAUGCGGAAGAGAUAAGUGCUGAAAGCAUCUAAGCACGAAACUUGCCCCGAGAUGAGUUCUCCCUGAGACUUUAAGUCUCCUGAAGGAACGUUGAAGACGACGACGUUGAUAGGUCGGGUGUGUAAGCGCAGCGAUGCGUUGAGCUAACCGAUACUAAUGAACCGUGAGGCUUAACCUU
This 218-nucleotide ribosomal RNA is filed under the name Enterobacter hormaechei. RNAcentral describes it as "partial 23S ribosomal RNA". It matches the Rfam family "Bacterial large subunit ribosomal RNA", at positions 2713 to 2925 of the family's 2925-position model. The record is from RNAcentral. Lineage: Bacteria; Pseudomonadati; Pseudomonadota; Gammaproteobacteria; Enterobacterales; Enterobacteriaceae.